UCGCGGGUAGUUCAAUUGGCAGAACGCCUGACUUUGGAUCAGGAGAGUGCAGGUUCGAGUCCUGCCCCGCGAGCAA
RNAcentral lists this transfer RNA (76 nucleotides) under Actinobacteria bacterium IMCC26207. RNAcentral's name for it is "tRNA-Gln". It matches the Rfam family "tRNA". From Rfam's summary of the family: Transfer RNA (tRNA) molecules are approximately 80 nucleotides in length. Their secondary structure includes four short double-helical elements and three loops (D, anti-codon, and T loops). Lineage: Bacteria; Bacillati; Actinomycetota; Actinomycetes. The record is from RNAcentral.